Molecule: unclassified non-coding RNA, 315 nt
Filed under: Coemansia brasiliensis
Lineage: Eukaryota; Fungi; Kickxellomycota; Kickxellomycetes; Kickxellales; Kickxellaceae
Description: partial internal transcribed spacer region
Rfam family: Eukaryotic small subunit ribosomal RNA (bases 1-45)
Source: RNAcentral
AGUCGUAACAAGGUCAUCGUAGGUGAACCUGCGGUGGGAUCAUUAUUGAUUUAUACCUGGUAGUUUCUUCUUAGGAAGGCUACUAACUUGUGUGGGAGAGUUUUUUUUAGUAGGGAAGAUCAGUACUACGUGCUUUUUUUCUCCUACGAAGAGGUGUCGUUUUGUGUUUAUGGACGUUCUUAGGAAGGUUCAUAACACAAAACUUCACUUUCUUACUAUAAAACCUUAUGAACUAGUUGCUAUGGAAAAAAAUUAUAAUUCAUUAUGAAAUGUAAUAAACUCAUACAACUAUCAAUGGCGGAUCACUUGGCUCUU